GAUGAACGCUGGCGGCGUGCUUAACACAUGCAAGUCGAACGGUGAAGCAGGAGCUUGCUCUUGUGGAUUAGUGGCGAACGGGUGAGUAACACGUGAGCAACCUGCCCCUGACUCUGGGAUAAGCGCUGGAAACGGCGUCUAAUACUGGAUAUGUGAUGUGACCGCAUGGUCUGCAUCUGGAAAGAAUUUCGGUUGGGGAUGGGCUCGCGGCCUAUCAGCUUGUUGGUGAGGUAAUGGCUCACCAAGGCGUCGACGGGUAGCCGGCCUGAGAGGGUGACCGGCCACACUGGGACUGAGACACGGCCCAGACUCCUACGGGAGGCAGCAGUGGGGAAUAUUGCACGAUGGGCGGGAGCCUGAUGCAGCAACGCCGCGUGAGGGAUGACGGCCUUCGGGUUGUAAACCUCUUUUAGCAGGGAAGAAGCGAAAGUGACGGUACCUGCAGAAAAAGCACCGGCUAACUACGUGCCAGCCGCCGCGGUAA
RNAcentral lists this ribosomal RNA (484 nucleotides) under uncultured bacterium. RNAcentral's name for it is "partial 16S ribosomal RNA". It matches the Rfam family "Bacterial small subunit ribosomal RNA", at positions 28 to 523 of the family's 1533-position model. The record is from RNAcentral.